UUGACGGGGGCCCGCACAAGCGGUGGAGUAUGUGGUUUAAUUCGAUGCAACGCGAAGAACCUUACCUAGGUUUGACAUGCGGAAGACCUUCCCGAAAAGGAAGGGUGCCCUUCGGGGAAUUCCGAGACAGGUGCUGCAUGGCUGUCGUCAGCUCGUGCCGUGAGGUGUGGGUUAAGUCCCGCAACGAGCGCAACCCUAUUGCCAGUUGCUACCAGGUAAUGCUGGGCACUCUGGUGAGACUGCCCCGGUUAACGGGGAGGAAGGUGGGGACGACGUCAAGUCAUCAUGGCCCUUACGCCUAGGGCUACACACGUACUACAAUGGCGCAUACAAAGGGCAGCGAUACCGCGAGGUGGAGCCAAUCCCAAAAAGUGCGUCCCAGUCCGGAUUGCAGUCUGCAACUCGACUGCAUGAAGUUGGAAUCGCUAGUAAUUCGAGAUCAGCAUGCUCGGGUGAAAUGCGUUCCCGGGCCUU
RNAcentral lists this ribosomal RNA (474 nucleotides) under uncultured Desulfovibrio sp. RNAcentral's name for it is "bacterial SSU rRNA". It matches the Rfam family "Bacterial small subunit ribosomal RNA", at positions 910 to 1382 of the family's 1533-position model. The record is from RNAcentral. Lineage: Bacteria; Pseudomonadati; Thermodesulfobacteriota; Desulfovibrionia; Desulfovibrionales; Desulfovibrionaceae.